CCAGAAUAGAACAAGAAGGGGGACAAGAUAGGUAUUAUAAAUGUGGAAAAACAGGCCAUUUUAAGAGAGAAUGCCCUGACCUAAAGGCCACAGAGGAAAUUCCUCCUCUCAUGCCAACCUUCAGAGAGGAAGAAUACGUGAGUCAGGGGCUCUUUCUUUUCCACCUUGAGUCCCAUCAAGAGCCCUUGAUAAAUUUGGAGGUGGGACCAAACCAUUAACUAAUAACAUUCCUCAUUGAUUCUGGAGCUACUUGUUCUUCCUUACGCUUUUCUCCAAGUGGCCUCAGCUGUUCUCCAGAAGAGCUACUAUUAUCUGGGGUGAAAGAAGAGAGGUUUAAGGCCAAAAUCCUAGAAGAUAUAGAAGUCAGAUACAAAAAUGAGGCAGCUAAUAUUCAAUUUCCAUUAAUUCCUGAAGCAGGCACUAAUUUGUUAGGAAGAGACUUAAUGCUAAAGUUAGGUCUUGGACUGCAAGUAGGGCCAAAGGGGUUCCUUCCCUCUCUCCACCUGCUAACUACUGUUGAUGAGAGGAAAAUUCAUCCGGAUUUAUGGUCAAGAGAAGGAAAGCAAGGGAGUUACGGAUUCCCCUGAUACAAAUACAUUUAAAGGUUCCAAGGGGGAGUAGCCCGGAGAAAGUAAUACCCGAUCUCCCUGGAAGGCCGGGUAGGACUAAAACCUGUGAUUGAAGGCCUUAUUAAAGAUGGACUUUUAGAGCCUUGCAUGUCUCCGUAUAAUACCCUUAUCCUACCUGUCAGGAAGCCUGAUGGAUCCUACCUAUUAGUACAAGAUCUCAGAGCUAUAAAUGAAAUAGUUCAAACCACUCACGCUACUAUGACAAAUCCAUAUAUUAACCUUAGUAAAAUUCUGUAAAGUCAUCAAUGGUUUACUGUAAUAGACUUAAAGGAUGCUUUCUGGGCACGUCCUUUGGCUGAGGACAGCCAAGAUCUAUUCACAUUCAAAUGGGAGGACCCCCAUACAGGACAGAAGCAGCAGUACCGGUGGAUAGUAUUGCCCCAGGAUUUGAGGAUUCACUGAAUAUUUUUACUCAUGCUCUAGAUAGGAUUAUUAGAAAGACAGACACUCCACCACAUUUACAAUUAAUCCUAUAUAUGGAUGACAUACUUAUAUCUGGAGAAGAUAUAGAAAAAGUCUUUUAGCACAAGCACCACCCUUGGAAUUCCCAGUACAAUCGCAUCAGCCUGGAGACCACGUCUUCAUAAAGGGAUGGAAGGAAGGAAGGCUCGAGCCAGCCUGGGAAGGAUCCUACCUCAUGUUAUUGACCAUCGAAACCGCAGUUCGCACUGCCGAGAAGGGGUGGACCCAUCACACUCGAGUCAAGAAAGCGUCGACACCCUCAGAAUCCUGGAUUGUGGUCCCCGAGCCAAGUCCCACCAAGUUAAAAUUAAGAAGAACCUAACAUACCUUUAUUUCUAUUUUUCUUUCUUUCCUCUCACUAUCUCUCAUUUUAUUAUUAACAUAACUAGAUUGGAAUCAUCUCAAGUGAUAUCCUUUGAUGCUUGUCUAGUGAUGCCAUGCGGGGACCUACAUAACCAAAGGCAACUAGCCUCUUCAGAAAAAUAUCUAUGUCCUGGUCCCCCAUUUAAUCUAACAGUCUCUCACUCCCAUAGAUGCGAUCAAUUAAAGCCAAGA
Molecule: long non-coding RNA, 1646 nt
Filed under: Homo sapiens (human)
Lineage: Eukaryota; Metazoa; Chordata; Mammalia; Primates; Hominidae
Description: HSALNT0075344
Source: RNAcentral